UCUUAUCAAGAGUAGGUGUAGGGACGAGCCCGAUGACACCCGGCAACCGGCAACCUUUUGCAAAGAAGGACGCACGGUGCUAAUUCUUGCAGAACGCGCGAACCGCGGAUCUGAGAGAUGAGA
This 123-nucleotide non-coding RNA is filed under the name Gorillibacterium timonense. Its description in RNAcentral is "SAM riboswitch (S box leader)". It matches the Rfam family "SAM riboswitch aptamer (S box leader)". From Rfam's summary of the family: The SAM riboswitch is found upstream of a number of genes which code for proteins involved in methionine or cysteine biosynthesis in Gram-positive bacteria. The SAM riboswitch acts at the level of transcription termination control. The record is from RNAcentral. Lineage: Bacteria; Bacillati; Bacillota; Bacilli; Caryophanales; Paenibacillaceae.